Durio zibethinus is the source of this 1186-nucleotide non-coding RNA. NCBI's taxonomy places the organism in Eukaryota, Viridiplantae, Streptophyta, Magnoliopsida, Malvales, Malvaceae. The record is from RefSeq and is a predicted model, not a curated record.
UAUAUAACAGAUAUCUAUUACUGUAAUUUAUUCCAAUUGCUUGCCAAAUCAACAUUUUUAUUAUUCAUUUGAGUACCGUAUCUGCAAAUGAUUAACCAAUUAGCAAUUUAUUUCGUUGCCAUCUAAGCAACUCAGAAACCAUAGAUUAUCUCCAACCCUCUUUCGCCUUUCUCUUCUCCUUUUCUCAAAAACCUCUCUAUAAAUUUUCUUCAAAAGAUCGAAAAUCAACCUCCUUCUUUCUUCGUUUCAAACCCAGCUAAGAGGGAAAAAAAACUUGCAAUGAAGCCCAAAAGUCAAAUGAUAAAACCCAGUGUUCUUGGUGGUCUGCCACUGUUGCUUUCACCUUUUGCCGCACCUCCAACAAUGCAGCUUCUUAGCCCAAACCCUAUAAGAGAAACUAGAAAACUCUAGAAAAAUUUUAAAAGAAACCCAAAAAAAAAAAAAAACCUUUGCCCAUUUUCUUUCUUUACAAUUUUAUUUUCUUUGUAAUUGCUUGUGUGCACUUAUUUUUACUUUGAUCUUUGAUGUGUUGGCGAUUGUUUGGCUUUGCUUGGAAUUGCUGGGUUUGAUUGGAUUUCUGGAUUUAAUCUUUUUUGACAAGAAAAAAACUAAAAAAAGGAAAAAGAAAAAAGCAAAGCCCGAAGAAUCAUCAUAUUUACCCUCUAUGAUAGUUUCUCUGCUUUUUUUUAUAGCAUUCUUCAAAUUGUUGGAGCUUUGCUGUUGUGUAAUCAUCUACCUCAUUUCUUUGUUCUUUUUACCUUAAAUGAAUAUUCUGAUGUUGAUGUUGUUCUUUUUGUAAGGAUGCGUUUUUUGGGCCAUUUGAUGUGCGAAAUUGAAGGAAACCAUCUGACAAAGGUAGUUGCCAAAUAAAGCGAGAAGAUUUGAGGAGGAAGAGGAAGGCGUUUUUGGAUGGAUAACAUCACAAUCAUUUUAUGUUGGAACUUAAAUCAUGCGGUCAGUUGGUGCACUAAUGAUUCUAGUGUUCUCCCACAAGCAACACAUAAAUGAAGUGGAAGAUAAUAUUAAAAAAAUGUGAAAGAGACUCAAAGCUCAUCAUUUUCCGUUUAUUUCAAAUGAGUGUAUAUAUAAUGGAGAUUGAUAUAUGCAGCCAACUAAGGGUUUUUCUGGUAAAUUAAUCAGCUGAUUUUUUUAAUCAAAGCAAAGUUCGUGAGUUACGAACUUCCUU